Molecule: ribosomal RNA, 379 nt
Filed under: uncultured cyanobacterium
Lineage: Bacteria; Bacillati; Cyanobacteriota
Description: bacterial SSU rRNA
Rfam family: Bacterial small subunit ribosomal RNA
Source: RNAcentral
CGAAAGCCUGACGGAGCAAUACCGCGUGAGGGAGGAAGGCCUUUGGGUUGUAAACCUCUUUUCUCAGGGAAGAAGAUCUGACGGUACCUGAGGAAUAAGCAUCGGCUAACUCCGUGCCAGCAGCCGCGGUAAUACGGAGGAUGCAAGCGUUAUCCGGAAUUAUUGGGCGUAAAGCGUCCGCAGGUGGUUUUUCAAGUCUGCUGUCAAAGACCAGAGCUCAACUCUGGGCCGGCGGUGGAAACUGGGAAACUAGAGUUCGGUAGGGGUAGCGGGAAUUCCCAGUGUAGCGGUGAAAUGCGUAGAUAUUGGGAAGAACACCAGUGGCGAAAGCGCUCAACUGGGCCGUAACUGACACUCAGGGACGAAAGCUAGGGUAGCG